GGGAAUUAGCUCAGCUGGGAGAGCGCUUGACUGGCAGUCAAGAGGUCAGGGGUUCAAGUCCCCUAUUCUCC
This 71-nucleotide transfer RNA is filed under the name Anaerococcus vaginalis. It matches the Rfam family "tRNA". Rfam says of the family: Transfer RNA (tRNA) molecules are approximately 80 nucleotides in length. Their secondary structure includes four short double-helical elements and three loops (D, anti-codon, and T loops). Lineage: Bacteria; Bacillati; Bacillota; Tissierellia; Tissierellales; Peptoniphilaceae. The record is from RNAcentral. RNAcentral also lists the same sequence under 1 other name.